Drosophila santomea is the source of this 5497-nucleotide long non-coding RNA. RefSeq lists it as uncharacterized. The record is from RefSeq and is a predicted model, not a curated record. The transcript is spliced from 3 exons. Lineage: Eukaryota; Metazoa; Arthropoda; Insecta; Diptera; Drosophilidae.
AGGCGAUUCAAAUGCGGCCGUUCUCUCUUCUUGUCACAAACGAAGUGUUCUUUAUUUCUUCGUUCCGUUCCUUCUUAGCCUAUUACAUGUAUGUAUUGGUGUGUCAGUUGCUGAUCGUGCGAACGGGACGCACAAAGUAGUGUCCGUAAGCACGAUCUUAACAUUAGCGUAAAAUUGUACUUAAAACUAAGAGUAUGUAUAUCUAGGACUGUAUGUACAAUCACUGUGUGUAUGUUACGGUAGUGUGCCUGCUUGCUACAAAAGGGAUGUCGCUCUUUCCAGUAAUGGGUAUCUUAAAGUCGAGACCCUUGACACAGCGCUCCUUCGUCUUUUUGCUUCGUCCAUUGUCUAUCAACGAGAAAUGCCGACUUUGAUGACGAUGACGAACCAGACGGAUCAACAUUUAUGAAUUUGUGGAAUUUUAGACAAGUCAGCGCGGCAGGAAAAAACAAGGACCAGGUCCCCAAGACACCAAGACACCAAUACACCAAGACAAAUGGGGCAGACGGAAAAGAAAGAAGAAGUCAGGAGGAAACCGGGAGGGAAAAAAGCUGCAUCAAAUUAUCGAGCAGUCUUUUCUCAGGAAAGAGACUCAGGUCUCGCAUACCCAUCACCGACCACCGUUCACCGUUCACCGAUCAGCGAUCAGCGAUCAGCGAUCAUGGGGGACUGGGACUCCUGACAAGGAUUUGAUGGCCGUCCGCCGAGCUCUUUGUUUGCUGCCAAACAGUAACCAUAUUGUUGUUGUAUAAUUAAGCCACAUUAGGCCAAAAAACUGAGAAGAGGUGGGAAGGAAAGGAGGAGAGAGCGAGAGAUGGAGAGACUGAGAGAUGGAGGGACUGAAAGAAGAACAGACCGGCCUCCAAGAACCGGCGGGCAUCUCGAAUGGAGCAUUAGACACGCGAUUUACAAUUUUUUAGGCUUUUGCAGCUCUCUGGAAAAUGGCUGCCCGCAAUAAUAAUUUAAUGGUGCAGCCGGAUAGUGAACCACAUCAUCGCCUUGCCUUGGCCAUAAUCAUCCUCUUGGCCAAACUCUUGGCCAGUCGAACCAACAAGAACAAAAACGAAGCGGCAAUCAGCCUAAUAGACCUGCCUUGCCACACGAGUGGGAGUGAGAGGGACGUGCAGGCCACGUAAGGUGGGCAAGACAGGUGGGGAACGAACAGUGGGCCGAGUUCGGGAUAAGUGCAUCAAAUUGUAUUCACCAAGAUGUGGACAAGGUGAGCUAAAACGUACUCGUAUUCAUUUUGAUACAAUGAAGGAGCAGCAUAGUAAGUAGGAGUAACAUAAGUGGGCUAAGUACCAGUACGCCAGUUGAACCAAGGUGCCUAAGAGCUGGCCAAGUGACUAAAAUGUAUUAUUAACGCAAGAGGGCCUCUCACCCCCCUUGCUCACGAUGAUCCCCAUCCCCAUUCCAGCUCCUCGACUCUCCAGUCUGCGCAGCGAAUGCAAUCUGCAACGCCCCGGGCCUUUUCCUCUUUUUUGGAGCUGCGCGGUGUACUUUCGGUGUUUCUCUGCGGCGACGCAAAAGUCGUCGAAAUGUUGGCGAUUCGCCGCGGUUCUCGACCACCCGACGAAGACUACCAAUUCAUUUUGAUAUCGGGCUUAUAAGGCCAGUUAAAAGUCUUUACUUAAAUUGACACUUUAGAUGGUACAAAUCCAGGUGCAAUAUUUAUUUCGCAAUGAUGUUCUAGUUAUCACCACUUAGAGCGAACUGGAGUUUAGGAGCAGAUUUUGAGAGAGUUGAGAAAUACGUGUGUUUAGUCGGCUGUACAUGAACCGCAGAUUAAUUUACUUAAAAACGUAAAACGUAAAACGUAAAUUUGGGCUUUUCUUUCCCCUCCCCUUCAGUUUCCUACUGCCUUUCGACUCGCGGCUAUUUCCUUUCAUUUCGGUUUCUUCUCUGUAUCUCUUUUAGCUUCGUUCGCAGCGUGUUUCACACUUUUUCAGUGAAGUCCGUCCGUCAGUCUAUCAGUCCCAAAGACAAUUCGAUACCCCCUGAUACCGCCCCUUUUCAAAAUUCAAUUACAAGGCACAGAACAGCAACAACAAUGGUCAAGUUGACACCUCACAACCUAAACGCAAACGUAAUGAUUGUUCGAUUUUGAUUAAUGAUUGCGGUGCAAAAAUAAAAGCAGACCGACUUUGACUUGAAUACGCGUUUUUUUCGAAGGGAAUGCCGGCAUUAGGAGCUAUGGUAUUGAAGUAAAAUCAUUUUGAAUUGAAAGGCAACAGAACGGCAAACUUCUGUUUGGAUUACUAUUUAGUUAAAACUUUUCUGAAAAACUUGUGAUGGGAAUAGUUGGCUAUGUUUGUUGGCAGUACAAAACUUCCUUCCUUUUAGCUGUGCCACCUCCUUUGGUCAGGUUAUGCAGGAAACAACUUUUGAAAUAUGCGUUUUUUGACAACAUUUUAGUUUUGUGUUUUUUGCUAUAAAAUAAUCUAUUUUUUUCCGAUAGCAGUAAAAAUAGUGGUCCAAAACAAGAAUGUCAUACCUCGUCGAGUUCGUAAUUAAAUUUCUAAUCAAACUGUGUUUUCAGAAAAAUUUUCAAAAAAAAAUUCUAUUCUUUUCACAUUUUUUGCAAUUUUUGAUGAUGUUAAAUUUACCUUACAAAAUAUGCGAAAUUUUUUUUUCGAAAAUCAAUUAACUUGUGAUGGGGAUAGUUAGCUGUGCUUAUUGGCAGUACGAAACGGUAUUCAUUUCAGCUCUGUCGCCGUUUUUGGCCAAGUUAUGGAGGAAACCCCGUUUAAAAUGUGAGGUUUUUGAAAUUUGCUGUUUUCUGGGUGUAUUGGCGGUACAAGACAGUCUUCGAGCUAGAGAGCUGAAAAGAUUCAGAUUGCUUUCAUGAAAAUCUCUAGCCCGAGCCCCUCAAGCCAUCCGACUCCCUUUAAAGACCGCCGCCUCUGGGGGAACCCCCGCCCGGGUGAGUGUGCGAUAUCUGUAUCUGCCAGAUGCAUCUAGUUUUGGCUCUCGACUUGCAUGGGGAUUGGGGCUCAAACAAUUUGCCGCCUGUCAGUGUGACAAGUGUUGCGAAAUGCCGCUGAAAAGCCGCUUUGCCGCACACACGGCAAAGACUCAUGGAUAGUUGAUAGUUGAUAGUUGAUGGCUGAGCAGACAGCUGAACAGUGAACUCUCCUCUUGACGCACCACUUGGCGUCUUGUAUUCAAGUUUGGUCAGUCCAUUCGUUGCGGAUAUGCCACGUCUUAGAGGCAAGUCGCUGAAUCAAAAAGGGAAUGGGUCUUGCGACUGAAUAAGAAGUUUUAUUUGUUUCCUAAGGCAUUUGUGUUUGAUUAAAAUUUUCACGUAAAAAGGAGCUUGAAGAGCUCGGUGAACUUCUGAAGCUGGGCUCUAAUACAUUUCGUUGCUUAUUUGAUUUACACUUUAUUUGAUUUAGCUGCCGUUUGGCUUCUUUUUUUGCCGUCUUGAGCGGCUUGAUGCGAAUUGACAGCUGUUUGCCAGAUGCCCGAGGUUGGGGGAGCGUUCAGAGGCGACUGUCAGCCAGACUCACUGGCGGCACAACUUCAAAGUCUACUGAUUUAAUUCGCCACGAAAGCGUUUGCAAUUAGCGAACGGUGACCACAGUUGGCGACGUUCAAUAAACGCGGGAAAAUGGGCAGGGAACUGUGAAUUGUAAAAAGUAGUAAACUUCGCUAAUUCAUAAUUCAUAACUUCAGAUCGGUGACUUAAUUCGCGGUGCAAAGAGCGGCAAAACCCCAAAACUAUUGAUGUUCCCCAGUGCCAUCAGCAGCGGCAUAUGCAGAUAGGCAUACCUUAGAUCUGUCACUCUUCAUUAGCCCUAGCUUAGAUUGUCCUUAUUCCAAACAUGUGGAUCGAGUCGAGUUAUUGUAGCAAGCCGAGCCGUGUUAGCCGUCUUUUCAGUCCCCUCAACGUGAUCGCUGCCACAACUGUCAAGCGAUGCCGACGACGUACGGCUGUCGUCUCACAAUUAAUUGACAUUUCGACUGCCGAGGAUUGUCAUUCAAAGGCAAACUUCGUCGAGCGGAAUGCACCGAAGGAUCCCCUCGCCAAUUGGCAGAGGACGCUGAGAUCCCGAGAUGCCGAGAUGCGGAGUCAUUCGCCGAACACCAAAAGGCACACCAUUAACUACUGUCUUUGGCCUGAACUGAAGGUAUGAGUGCUUGGUUUGAUAUGGAAGUUGCUCGAAGCAUUCACAGAGUUAUUUUUAGGGGCUUAUGGUACGAUAUAUAAACUUAAUCCUCGCUGCAUUUGCUGCACGGAAUGCCUUUAAGUCGCUGACUACUGCUGUGCCGAUCCGUUUCCAAGCUAGAUAAUCUGCCUCAGCGAUCGCAAAGGCCCAAAGGCACUUCAGCUGGCCCAGAUCUCUGGGGCUCUGCGAUGUUCUGCGGCUACGUCGGCAAUACAAUUGGCACAUGUUUGGCCAGUCCUGUCCCCGUCUGGAGCUACUUCGACGGUCUCUGGAGGGCAUCAGAGUUUGGGGAUCGGGAGACCUGACAGCCCGUGGCAUUGUAUGGGCUUUGGGGAAGAUUCGAAGAAAGAGAUCAAGGCGGCGAAGGGGGAGAGCGGUCGGGUCAAUUCACACGUGCGCAGGCGCGCAGUUCAAUUAACUUAAUUGCCAUGUAAUUACGAGGAGCAGCAACAACAGCAGCAGCAGCAACAGUGAGUAAUACCACGCCACAAACCACCACAUCGCAACGUCAUCUCCAACAUCCUGCUGCGCUGCGCAAUAGCGAAACAAAAGACUUAGGACACAAACCUGCUUUCGAGGCUUUUUGCGAUGGCACUUCUCCUAUACCCUCACAGAACUUUAUUUCGGAUUUAAUUUGGGAAAUGUUAGCUUGUAUCAAUUUAAUACAGUAUCUAGCGAAAGUCAACUAUUAACAUUUUUGCAACUAUCUGCCUUUUCUUUAUUUAGGUGUGUGUCUUGCUAUAUUUAUGAGAUAGUGUGGAUACGAGAUCGUACUCUCCACCUCAUCCACGACUUCCCCAGUGACUCCGACAUUCCAGUUGGAAUGGCCAGCCUGCUGCUCCUUCUUCUUCUGUUCCUCAACCCCAACCCCAACUCCAACUCCAACUCCAAAUCACUCCUCCUCCUGCUCCUCUCUUUCGCUUCCCAUUCGCCGAGUGGCUGGGAAGGCAUUUGAAAAACGUUGCCGCAUUUUUUACAGCAGAAAAUAAGAAAAAACGAGCAGCCUCUGCUGCAAAGGAAUGAACUAAUUGUUUUCAGUUUUUUCAUGUGCGUAUUUUUGUAUGUUUUUCUGGCGUUCUCCUGCUUUUCAGCCCUGUCAAAUUGCCUUCGCCAACAUUGCAACUGCCCUGCCCAUCAUUAUGGGAAUGGAGCUCCAGCAAAAGGUCCAAGCUCAUGGACACCGGUCACCUAAAGAAGUAUUUGGAUGUAUGCUUCCAACAUCCAUCCAUCAACGUUAAGGUAAUCUUCAUAUUUAUAUAUACAUAUAUGUAUAUGUAUAUAAGUUGUGCGCCAUUCGCGGGACUUCAAAGUCGCUGAUCCCUGAGCAG